RNAcentral lists this ribosomal RNA (1122 nucleotides) under Venturia inaequalis. RNAcentral's name for it is "partial large subunit ribosomal RNA". It matches the Rfam family "Eukaryotic large subunit ribosomal RNA", at positions 75 to 1383 of the family's 3401-position model. The record is from RNAcentral. Lineage: Eukaryota; Fungi; Ascomycota; Dothideomycetes; Venturiales; Venturiaceae.
UUGCCUCAGUAACGGCGAGUGAAGCGGCAACAGCUCAAAUUUGAAAUCUGGCGCAAGCCCGAGUUGUAAUUUGCAGAGGAUGUUUCGGGUGAAGCCACGGUCCAAGUCCCUUGGAACAGGACGUCAUAGAGGGUGAGAACCCCGUACCUGGCCGUCGGUGCCCCCCGCUGUGAAACUCCUUCGACGAGUCGAGUUGUUUGGGAAUGCAGCUCUAAAUUGGUGGUAAAUUCCAUCUAAAGCUAAAUACCGGCCAGAGACCGAUAGCGCACAAGUAGAGUGAUCGAAAGAUGAAAAGCACUUUGAAAAGAGAGUUAAAAAGUACGUGAAAUUGUUGAAAGGGAAGCGCUUGCGGCCAGACUUGCCCGCGGUUGCUCAGCCCGCCUUUUGGCGGGUGCACUCUUCCGCGGUCAGGCCAGCAUCGGUUUGGGCGGUCGGAUAAAGGCGUCGGGAACGUGGCCUCCCCUCGGGGAGGUGUUAUAGCCCGGCGCGCAAUGCGGCCAGCCCGGACCGAGGUUCGCGCUUUGCUAGGAUGCUGGCGUAAUGGCCGUAAGCGGCCCGUCUUGAAACACGGACCAAGGAGUCUAACAUCUAUGCGAGUGUUUGGGUGUCAAACCCGUGCGCGUAAUGAAAGUGAACGGAGGUGGGAACCGCAAGGUGCACCAUCGACCGAUCCUGAUGUCUUCGGAAGGAUUUGAGUAAGAGCAUAGCUGUUGGGACCCGAAAGAUGGUGAACUAUGCGUGAAUAGGGUGAAGCCAGAGGAAACUCUGGUGGAGGCUCGCAGCGGUUCUGACGUGCAAAUCGAUCGUCAAAUUUGCGUAUAGGGGCGAAAGACUAAUCGAACCAUUUGCAAACAGCAAUACUAGAUGGUCAAAGGGCGGAGAGCCUUAGUCCCCACGGGGGCCACACUGCCAAACUGCGGGGAACGCCCACAGCCGGACGCCACCGCCCCCCCGCCGCGAGGUGGGAGGGGCACCCCGUUUACUCGGGGGCAUGGUAACAGCGCGCCCGGCGGGUCGAUCCGCAGCCGUCCCCCGAUCCGUCGGGGGGUGGUUCACAGACUAGACGGCGGUGGGCGCGGCGAGCGCUUAAGAUAUAGUCGAUCCAGCCCCUCAAGGGCCGAG